This 497-nucleotide ribosomal RNA is filed under the name uncultured bacterium. RNAcentral's name for it is "partial 16S ribosomal RNA". It matches the Rfam family "Bacterial small subunit ribosomal RNA", at positions 28 to 507 of the family's 1533-position model. The record is from RNAcentral.
GAUGAACGCUGGCGGCGUGCCUAAUACAUGCAAGUCGAGCGAACAGACGAGGAGCUUGCUCCUCUGACGUUAGCGGCGGACGGGUGAGUAACACGUGGAUAACCUACCUAUAAGACUGGGAUAACUUCGGGAAACCGGAGCUAAUACCGGAUAAUAUAUUGAACCGCAUGGUUCAAAAGUGAAAGACGGUUUUGCUGUCACUUAUAGAUGGAUCCGCGCUGCAUUAGCUAGUUGGUAAGGUAACGGCUUACCAAGGCAACGAUGCAUAGCCGACCUGAGAGGGAGAUAGGCCACCUCGUAAUUGGCACCCGGCCAAGCACCCUCCGGGGGCAGCCGUAAGGGAAUCUUCCGCAAAGGGCGAAAGCCUGACGGAGCAACGCCGCGUGAGUGAUGAAGGUCUUCGGAUCGUAAAACUCUGUUAUUAGGGAAGAACAUAUGUGUAAGUAACUAUGCACAUCUUGACGGUACCUAAUCAGAAAGCCACGGCUAACUACGUG